This 336-nucleotide unclassified non-coding RNA is filed under the name soil metagenome. RNAcentral describes it as "partial contains 5.8S ribosomal RNA, internal transcribed spacer 2, and large subunit ribosomal RNA". The stretch from base 1 to 120 matches the Rfam family "5.8S ribosomal RNA", at positions 35 to 154 of the family's 154-position model. The record is from RNAcentral.
GAUGAAGAACGCAGCGAAAUGCGAUAAGUAAUGUGAAUUGCAGAAUUCAGUGAAUCAUCGAAUCUUUGAACGCUCAUUGCGACCGCCAGUAUUCUGGCGGGCAUGCCUGUUCGAGCGUCAUUUCAACCAUCAAGCCCCAGGCUUGUGUUGGGGACCUGCGGCUGCCGCAGGCCCUGAAAACCAGUGGCGGGCUCGCUGUCACACCGGGCGUAGUAGCAUACAUCUCGCUCUGGGCGUGCUGCGGGUUCCGGCCGUUAAACCACCUUCAUAACCCAAGGUUGACCUCGGAUCAGGUAGGAAGACCCGCUGAACUUAAGCAUAUCAAUAAGCGGAGGA